CCCUUAGAUGUUCUGGGCCGCACGCGCGCUACACUGAUGCAUUCAACGAGCCUAUCCUUGACCGACAGGUCCGGGUAAUCUUUGAAUCUGCAUCGUGACGGGGAUAGAUUAUUGCAAUUAUUAAUCUUCAACAAGGAAUGCCUAGUAGGCGCAAGUCAUCAGCUUGCGUCGAUUACGUCCCUGCCCUUUGUACACACCGCCCGUCGCUCCUACCGAUUGGGUGUGCUGGUGAAAUGUUCGGAUCGGCCGUUUGUCGCGGUUUCCGCGUCAUGUGGCUGAGAAGUUCAUUAAACCCUCCCACCUAGAGGAAGGAGAAGUCGUAACA
RNAcentral lists this ribosomal RNA (325 nucleotides) under uncultured eukaryote. RNAcentral's name for it is "partial 18S ribosomal RNA". It matches the Rfam family "Eukaryotic small subunit ribosomal RNA", at positions 1470 to 1796 of the family's 1831-position model. The record is from RNAcentral.